UGAAACUUGCAAGGAACAGG
Molecule: microRNA, 20 nt
Filed under: Ciona intestinalis (vase tunicate)
Lineage: Eukaryota; Metazoa; Chordata; Ascidiacea; Phlebobranchia; Cionidae
Description: cin-miR-4000i-5p
Source: miRBase by way of RNAcentral